AACGGAAAGGCCCUGCUUGCAGGGUACUCGAGUGGCGAACGGGUGAGUAACACGUGGGUGAUCUGCCCUGCACUUCGGGAUAAGCUUGGGAAACUGGGUCUAAUACCGGAUAGGACCGCACUUUAGUGUGUGUGGUGGAAAGUUUUUUCGGUGUAGGAUGAGCUCGCGGCCUAUCAGCUUGUUGGUGGGGUAAUGGCCUACCAAGGCGGCGACGGGUAGCCGGCCUGAGAGGGUGUACGGCCACAUUGGGACUGAGAUACGGCCCAGACUCCUACGGGAGGCAGCAGUGGGGAAUAUUGCACAAUGGGCGCAAGCCUGAUGCAGCGACGCCGCGUGGGGGAUGAAGGCCUUCGGGUUGUAAACUCCUUUCGCUAGGGACGAAGCUUUUUGUGACGGUACCUAGAUAAGAAGCACCGGCUAACUACGUGCCAGCAGCCGCGGCAAUACGUAGGGUGCGAGCGUUGUCCGGAAUUACUGGGCGUAAAGGGCUCGUAGGUGGUUUGUCGCGUCGUCUGUGAAAUUCUGGGGCUUAACUCCGGGCGUGCAGGCGAUACGGGCAUAACUUGAGUGCUGUAGGGGUAACUGGAAUUCCUGGUGUAGCGGUGAAAUGCGCAGAUAUCAGGAGGAACACCGAUGGCGAAGGCAGGUUACUGGGCAGUUACUGACGCUGAGGAGCGAAAGCAUGGGUAGCGAACAGGAUUAGAUACCCUGGU
Molecule: ribosomal RNA, 713 nt
Filed under: uncultured Corynebacterium sp.
Lineage: Bacteria; Bacillati; Actinomycetota; Actinomycetes; Mycobacteriales; Corynebacteriaceae
Description: bacterial SSU rRNA
Rfam family: Bacterial small subunit ribosomal RNA
Source: RNAcentral